GGAAUUUUGGACAAUGGGCGCAAGCCUGAUCCAGCCAUGCCGCGUGAGUGAAGAAGGCCUUCGGGUUGUAAAGCUCUUUCGGCCGGGAAGAAAUCGCAUUGGUUAAUACCUGGUGUGGACGACGGUACCGGAAUAAGAAGCACCGGCUAACUACGUGCCAGCAGCCGCGGUAAUACGUAGGGUGCGAGCGUUAAUCGGAAUUACUGGGCGUAAAGCGUGCGCAGGCGGUUUUGUAAGACAGGCGUGAAAUCCCCGGGCUCAACCUGGGAACUGCGCUUGUGACUGCAAGGCUAGAGUACGGCAGAGGGGGGUGGAAUUCCACGUGUAGCAGUGAAAUGCGUAGAGAUGUGGAGGAACACCAAUGGCGAAGGCAGCCCCCUGGGUCGAUACUGACGCUCAUGCACGAAAGCGUGGGUAGCAAACAGGAUUAGAUACCCUGGUAGUCCACGCCCUAAACGAUGUCAACUAGGUGUUGGGAGGGUAAAACCUUUUAGUACCGGAGCUAACGCGUGAAGUUGACCGCCUGGGGAGUACGGCCGCAAGGUUAAAACUCAAAGGAAUUGACGGGGACCCGCACAAGCGGUGGAUGAUGUGGAUUAAUUCGAUGCAACGCGAAAAACCUUACCUACCCUUGACAUGUCAGGAAGUCUUGAGAGAUUGAGAUGUGCCCGAAAGGGAACCUGAACACAGGUGCUGCAUGGCUGUCGUCAGCUCGUGUCGUGAGAUGUUGGGUUAAGUCCCGCAACGAGCGCAACCCUUGUCGUUAAUUGCCAUCAUUUAGUUGGGCACUUUAGCGAGACUGCCGGUGACAAACCGGAGGAAGGUGGGGAUGACGUCAAGUCCUCAUGGCCCUUAUGGGUAGGGCUUCACACGUCAUACAAUGGUCGGUACAAAGGGUCGCCAACCCGCGAGGGGGAGCCAAUCCCAGAAAGCCGAUCGUAGUCCGGAUUGCAGGCUGCAACUCGCCUGCAUGAAGUCGGAAUCGCUAGUAAUCGUGGAUCAGCAUGUCACGG
Molecule: ribosomal RNA, 1013 nt
Filed under: uncultured Dechloromonas sp.
Lineage: Bacteria; Pseudomonadati; Pseudomonadota; Betaproteobacteria; Rhodocyclales; Azonexaceae
Description: bacterial SSU rRNA
Rfam family: Bacterial small subunit ribosomal RNA
Source: RNAcentral